GGACUACCAGGGUAUCUAAUCCUGUUCGCUCCCCACGCUUUCGCUCCUCAGCGUCAGAACAGGUCCAGAGAGCCGCCUUCGCCACCGGUGUUCCUCCUGAUAUCUGCGCAUUUCACCGCUACACCAGGAAUUCCACUCUCCCCUACCUGCCUCUAGCCUGCCCGUAUCGGCAGCAAGCCCACAGUUAAGCUGCAGGUUUUCACAACCGACGCGACAAGCCACCUACGAGCUCUUUACGCCCAAUAAAUCCGGACAACGCUCGCUCCCUACGUCUUACCGCGGCGGCUGGCAC
This 292-nucleotide ribosomal RNA is filed under the name uncultured bacterium. Its description in RNAcentral is "partial 16S ribosomal RNA". The record is from RNAcentral.